GUGGGGAAUAUUGGACAAUGGGCGCAAGCCUGAUCCAGCCAUGCCGCGUGAGUGAUGAAGGCCCUAGGGUUGUAAAGCUCUUUCACCGGUGAAGAUAAUGACGGUAACCGGAGAAGAAGCCCCGGCUAACUUCGUGCCAGCAGCCGCGGUAAUACGAAGGGGGCUAGCGUUGUUCGGAUUUACUGGGCGUAAAGCGCACGUAGGCGGAUCGUUAAGUCGGGGGUGAAAUCCUGGAGCUCAACUCCAGAACUGCCUUCGAUACUGGCGAUCUUGAGUCCGGAAGAGGUGAGUGGAACUCCUAGUGUAGAGGUGGAAUUCGUAGAUAUUAGGAAGAACACCAGUGGCGAAGGCGGCUCACUGGUCCGGUACUGACGCUGAGGUGCGAAAGCGUGGGGAGCAAACAGGAUUAGAUACCCCGGUAGUCC
RNAcentral lists this ribosomal RNA (425 nucleotides) under uncultured bacterium. RNAcentral describes it as "partial 16S ribosomal RNA". It matches the Rfam family "Bacterial small subunit ribosomal RNA", at positions 354 to 796 of the family's 1533-position model. The record is from RNAcentral.